RNAcentral lists this non-coding RNA (147 nucleotides) under Nomascus leucogenys (northern white-cheeked gibbon). Lineage: Eukaryota; Metazoa; Chordata; Mammalia; Primates; Hylobatidae. The record is from Rfam by way of RNAcentral.
GCCGGGUGUGGUGGCGCACGACUGUAAUCCCAGCUACUUGGGAGGCUGAGGCAGGAGAAUUGCUUGAGCCUGGGAGGUGGAGGUUGCAGUGAGCUGAGAUCACACACUGCACUCCAGCCUGGGCAACAGAACAAGACUCUGUCUCAA